GAGGGGUUAGUUAAAAAAUAACACCCCCUUGUCAAGGGGGAAUAGCGAGUUAAACCCCCGUACCCCUCU
RNAcentral lists this transfer RNA (69 nucleotides) under Calyptocephallela gayi (helmeted water toad). RNAcentral's name for it is "tRNA-Asp". It matches the Rfam family "tRNA". From Rfam's summary of the family: Transfer RNA (tRNA) molecules are approximately 80 nucleotides in length. Lineage: Eukaryota; Metazoa; Chordata; Amphibia; Anura; Calyptocephalellidae. The record is from RNAcentral.